Molecule: long non-coding RNA, 263 nt
Organism: Mus musculus (house mouse)
Lineage: Eukaryota; Metazoa; Chordata; Mammalia; Rodentia; Muridae
Product: predicted gene, 40419
Exons: 3
Source: RefSeq, a predicted model, not a curated record
GCAGAGUUGCUGUAAUAAUGCCUUCUUCCCAGACUGCCAGCUUUUCAACUGUGAUGACAUCAUCAGAUACCUGUGCCGAGAGCUUGGAAGGCAUUUCUAUAGGCUCAUUACGAGUGACUGUUAAAGUCCCCAUUCACUGAGAAGCAAAGGCCUAUGUAAGGAUAAAACACCCACCAUAGAAAUGCAUUUCACUAAAAGACCCUCUGGUGGAAUCACCAUGCCUGACCUAAAGCUGUACUACAGAGCAAUCGUGAUAAAAACUG